This 24-nucleotide non-coding RNA is filed under the name Arabidopsis thaliana (thale cress). Lineage: Eukaryota; Viridiplantae; Streptophyta; Magnoliopsida; Brassicales; Brassicaceae. The record is from RNAcentral.
CCAUGUCAUUCCACCCAUCAAGAU